RNAcentral lists this ribosomal RNA (784 nucleotides) under Cordyceps gunnii. RNAcentral's name for it is "LSU rRNA". It matches the Rfam family "Eukaryotic large subunit ribosomal RNA", at positions 92 to 906 of the family's 3401-position model. Lineage: Eukaryota; Fungi; Ascomycota; Sordariomycetes; Hypocreales; Cordycipitaceae. The record is from RNAcentral.
AGUGAAGCGGCAACAGCUCAAAUUUGAAAUCUGGCCCCCCAGGGCCCGAGUUGUAAUUUGCAGAGGAUGCUUUGGGCGCGGCGCCUUCCGAGUUCCCUGGAACGGGACGCCACAGAGGGUGAGAGCCCCGUCUGGUCGGACGCCAAGCCUGUGUAAAGCUCCUUCGACGAGUCGAGUAGUUUGGGAAUGCUGCUCUAAAUGGGAGGUAUAUGUCUUCUAAAGCUAAAUAUAGGCCAGAGACCGAUAGCGCACAAGUAGAGUGAUCGAAAGAUGAAAAGCACUUUGAAAAGAGGGUUAAACAGUACGUGAAAUUGUUGAAAGGGAAGCGCUUGUGACCAGACUUGGGCCCGGCGGAUCAUCCAGCGUUCUCGCUGGUGCACUCCGGCGGGCUCAGGCCAGCAUCAGUUCGGCGCGGGGGACAAAGGCUUCGGGAACGUGGCUCCUCCGGGAGUGUUAUAGCCCGCUGCGUAAUACCCUGCGCUGGACUGAGGUUCGCGCUCCGCAAGGAUGCUGGCGUAAUGGUCAUCAGCGACCCGUCUUGAAACACGGACCAAGGAGUCGUCUUCGUAUGCGAGUGUUCGGGUGUCAAACCCCUACGCGUAAUGAAAGUGAACGCAGGUGAGAGCUUCGGCGCAUCAUCGACCGAUCCUGAUGUUCUCGGAAGGAUUUGAGUAAGAGCAUACGGGGCCGGACCCGAAAGAAGGUGAACUAUGCCUGUAUAGGGUGAAGCCAGAGGAAACUCUGGUGGAGGCUCGCAGCGGUUCUGACGUGCAAAUCGAUCGUC